UUGCAGUUCUGGCAUGUUACGUUUUUGUGCCUUUAUUUUGAAGAGCCCACUCUUAUUCUGUUACUUCCUUUAUUGCUGAUACUUGACUUCCUGCUGCCGUUCUGUCUGACUUCAACAGCAUACUCACGUUACUCCAGGACUGGUAAAACAUGCUGACAAAGAUAUAUUUCUCAUAUUCUGUGUGAACAUUUGUGAGAGGUUAUUUUAUUGUGCCUCGUGUUUGUGUUGUUUAUAUGUCACAUUUAAGGAGAGUCACUCCGAGCUGUGUGUGGAAGCUAAGCUAACUAGCGGAGCAAACUUAGCGCCCUUGGAAGCGGAAGGAGUUUUCACGGUGUCAAAAUUGUGAGGAGAAAAGGAGGAGAGAAUUAAAGUUGCACCAGUCGAAGCUCUCUGCAUCUUGUGUCAUUAAUCCAAGUGGGCCGCUACAGUGAAAACUCCCCGGCUGCAACCAGUGACAACUUCUGGCUGCAACAGACCUGCCAUCCCUGCAGAGAAGCUGACGCCAUCUCAUCCGAGAUCCAGCUACCAACCUGUUACCAGCCAACUGACUCCAUUUGCACCCACAUCCUGCACAGGCAAGAUUAAAAGGACAGCACGCUAAAGGAAUUACCUGAAGUUCCUCUGGUGGACAGGCGGAGAUUUGGAGAAGGAACCACAGGAGUACAGGAUGGCGGUUCAUCUCUUCGGAGCCGCUUCGUCUCCAGGAUGUGCCAAUUUUGGUUUAAAGCAUCUAGCACGACAACACAAGGCUAGCUAUCCCCUAGCAUCAAUAUUUGUGGAGAAACAUU
Non-coding RNA from Nerophis lumbriciformis (worm pipefish), 788 nucleotides. Lineage: Eukaryota; Metazoa; Chordata; Actinopteri; Syngnathiformes; Syngnathidae. The record is from RefSeq and is a predicted model, not a curated record.